Dalotia coriaria is the source of this 1833-nucleotide RNA transcript. It is a transcript of the gene named zinc finger protein 572-like, with no coding region annotated. NCBI's taxonomy places the organism in Eukaryota, Metazoa, Arthropoda, Insecta, Coleoptera, Staphylinidae. The record is from RefSeq and is a predicted model, not a curated record. The transcript has 5 exons.
UAUAAGUUGUGGUAGGAGUUAUAGAAUGAACACUUAUUUCACAAUGUGUUGUACAGACAGUUGUAGCUGAAAUGUGCAACCAGUUCUACAGUGUUUUAAAAGAAAUUUCAAAAGAUAACUAACAUUUAGGACGAAUUAUGUUCUAGGUCUGUCAAUAUUACUUUUGUUAUUAAAUAAUAAUGGAAACUGCUCAAAGUUAUUUUGUUAUUUUGUAUAUGUUGGAUAUAAUCUAAUAUUUCACAACUGCGAAAUGCCGCGUUUUGAAAAUCUGGUAUCACCAUGAGCGAUAAUGUGUACUUGAGUGUGGCACUUGUAAAACCUGAUUUCAUUGGCAAUAUACGAACCGAUCCGAGUUUCGUCGAUUGAAUAUAAACACUGCAUAAUAACAUUGUGUAUCUCCAAUAUUCGCAAGUAAAGUCGACUGAAACUGCUUUUUCCUUCAAGGAAAUCCCAAAGGAAAUGUUGCCUUCUAAGAUAACGUGUUUUCCCUUUAAAUACAUAUCAAUUUAUAGCCAGUACCUUAUACAAUUGAACUGAGUUGAAAAAAUUCAUUAAAUGUUUAAAAUUACUUAUAACUUAUAAUGUACAUAUCUUCAUAAUACUUAAUGUAAAUAAGUACAUUUUAGCGCCAUCUUGGAAUCGAUUUGAGCGUUAUUAAAGCAACUUCUGAUAAUGAUAUGAUAACUAAGCAUUUUACUUGCCGCCAGAACCGCGCUGGUGCAUAAAUAAGCGAAAGUAAUGCAUAAUACGAAUAGUAAUACUACCAUGACGUCGGAAACUAAUAACUUAGGAGCCGCAAUUUUACAAUCACAACUUCAUGAUCUUUGCAUCGUGUGUAAUAAAAAGGUGCGGAGUUGUGCAAAGUCUUCCAUCCAUGAAGUCUUGCCUAAAAGUGAUCCACCAAUAAAGUUGUUUGAGGUCCUCAAAUUGUUAUCAAAUUUUGCACACUUGAAUCAGGAUGAGUGUCCUUUAUCAGCUUGUGGUGCUUGUGUUGGGAAAGCUAUUCAAGCAUAUAGCUUUCAAAGAUUGUGUAAUAAGUCUGUUGAGUUCAUCAGAAAUUGUAUUCCACAUGUGGAUGAAAGCAAUCACACAAUCUCUAAGUUUCCUCUUUCUGAAAACAAUCAUCAGGAGGCUGAAACAAUCAAUAAUCCAGAGCAUAAUGUAAACAUUGAUGAUUUGAAUGUUCCUACUAAAUUAGCAAGUGUAAAGAUUGAAAUUUUAUCAUCUGAUGAUGAAAACAAUGUUGAUAAUGGCAAACAACUGCAAAUAGAGCCAAGCAGACAACAUUGCAAAGUGGCAAAGAAAUGGUGGGAUGCAUAUAUUGCCAUAAAAAUAUUCCAUAUGAACAUUACCUGCUUCAUAAACAAAAACACACAGAGAAAAGACCAUACGCAUGUAAAAUUUGUGGCAAAAAUUUCGAAUCUUCUAGGUUGCGAAGGCAACAUGUAGGACAAAUGCAUAUGCAUCGUCCUUUUGUAUGCCAUCUUUGUGGUAAAAGGUUUAUAAUGGAGGCUCAUUUAAUUGGACAUACUCGUCGUGCUCACAAGCAUUCAUGCAAGUUCUCAUGCAACAUUUGUGGAAAAUCGUUCAUCCAAGAAUCCAGUCUAAAACAGCAUCGUGCAACGCAUAUUGUCAAAAAAUAUUUGCCGAGGCCAAGCCGAUUUGGUGUUCAACCGGAUCUCAAACAUCAACUCAAAAGGAAGCCAAUUAAAACUGAGCCGAUGCAGUAAAAAUCUAUAGUUACAAUAUAUUCAAUGAUCAAAUAAGAUCAUCAUUUAUUUUCAGAGAUUUUCUUUAAGUUUUAAUAAAAGUGACAAAUCUGAGACAUGUAAA